Molecule: non-coding RNA, 309 nt
Organism: Durio zibethinus
Lineage: Eukaryota; Viridiplantae; Streptophyta; Magnoliopsida; Malvales; Malvaceae
Source: RefSeq, a predicted model, not a curated record
UCUGCUUCAUAUAAAUUAAAGAUUUUUGGCGAGUUGCUUUGUUGAUAUCUACAUUGCUAUAUCCCACCAAUAUUGAUUGCACUCAAGAUAUUAUAGACAAGCACUUUCAGCUGGACAAGAGAAAAGACCUGUUUGUAUCAGUUGAGAAUGCCAUUGUUAAAUUAGGCUGUUUAUGAACACACUCUCAAAUGUUUGGAAGAAUUAGCUCAAAUAGGUCUCGAGAAAGUUUGGGAUUUAAAGCCAUUGGUUAAUGGGAAGGCUAUCAUGGAUGUUUUGCAGCUUAAAGUCGGAGGGCCACUUGUUAGGGAA